RNAcentral lists this transfer RNA (64 nucleotides) under Biomphalaria choanomphala. RNAcentral describes it as "tRNA-Trp". The record is from RNAcentral. Lineage: Eukaryota; Metazoa; Mollusca; Gastropoda; Planorbidae.
AAAAUAUUAGGUUAAUAUUAAACCUUUGAUCUUCAAAGUCAACAAUCAAUCAUAUGAUAUUUUG